Molecule: long non-coding RNA, 1340 nt
Organism: Dendroctonus ponderosae (mountain pine beetle)
Lineage: Eukaryota; Metazoa; Arthropoda; Insecta; Coleoptera; Curculionidae
Exons: 2
Source: RefSeq, a predicted model, not a curated record
UGAAUCGCCAAUUGCACGAACGUCGCAGACGAAAUAAAAUUUGCUUAAUCAGCAACGACAUGGAAACGUAUUGGAAACGACAAACCUCAAGCAAUGCCGGGUUUAUAAAUUGGAACGUGCGCACGCGGAUGGUGAUUUCUAAAACGGCGGCAAUUGCGGACUUCGAACUAUAAACGGCAACAACUGAAGAGUUUAUAAAUCCACCUUGAUUCCUUUCCAGACGGGAUAAAGAAAAUUUAAUUGAAAAAUGGGCGGAAAGGUAAAUGGUCAUUGUUAUGUCAUUUUAAUGAGUAAAAGUGAUUCUUUAGCUAUCGAAAACAGUGGCGGUGAAAGUGUGUACCAUGGGAUCAGGAAAUAGUAUAUUACGGUACAAGGUCCGCACUGCGUCUAUGACGCAACGUCAACUUCAAGCAGUCAGCUGACAGUCAGUGACAAACAGUCAAGCUGUCAGCAUGCGUGGCGAAAGUUAAAACUUUCAACACGGAGUGAAGAAAAUUUUAGGGAAAAAUGGGCGGAAAGAAUAUUUUGGGGAGACCUCGGCAAUAAAUUUCCAUCGGUUCAACGAGCUAAAGCCAUCAAAGACAAAAAGACAAACAAAAGUAACGUUUACGGAUUUGUGAGCUUCAAGGAACCAGAUGACCUUACGAAAGCGAUGGAGCAAAUCAAGGAUAAUUUUUGAAUUGAAGUCUAGAACUCGCCCGAUCAAGGUGCGACUCGAGGAGUCGGCGUAUAGCCUUAUAGGAGAUUUUGAUUACGACGGUGGAUAACGCGCACUUUUUUCUAUUGCUCACGAAACUUUCGCUUCAAUUGCACAUUUCGCCGAUUUGUGAUAAGUUUUUAAACAUCGCCAUGCAUCAGUGGACUUUUGGUUUCGCAAGCUGAUUUUUGCAGAUUUAUUUGUCGAAAACUGGCCCAGAUGGAGAAAUUUCGAUGACGGUAUUCGAUAAAGCCAACCUUCUACUGUUGCCGAACAUUGCGCUUUCUAUGAACUUUUCAUCAAUUUCUGGGGAUUUUUUAUGAUGACUUUACAAAAGCGAUGUAGGAAAUGAAGGAUAAUUUUUGAAGUCGUCCGAUCAAGUUGCGACCCGAGGAGUCGGCGCAUAGCCUUUGUCAAGAAGAAGAAAAAGGAGAAAGUUGCCCUAAUACAUCUGUUAACAUAUGGAGGAAAAUAGGCAACUCAACAUAAUUAGUAAAUGAAAUUUUGCGUUGCUAAUAUACAUUUUUAUAAGCAAUCGAUCGUUUAAAUUAUCGGAGAAGAGUGGAAAUAAUCAAAUUCUUCGAUGUAAAUCAGUUUUAUAAAGCAGGAUGAACUGUGAAUAAACAUAUUUUGUUUAAAUUUA